CCUUGACAGUCGCAUCCCGCGACUGACAUUUGCCACGACAAGGAGAUUAACAUG
This 54-nucleotide non-coding RNA is filed under the name unclassified sequences. The record is from Rfam.